Colletes gigas is the source of this 1727-nucleotide RNA transcript. It is a transcript of the gene named tetraspanin-31-A, with no coding region annotated. The record is from RefSeq and is a predicted model, not a curated record. NCBI's taxonomy places the organism in Eukaryota, Metazoa, Arthropoda, Insecta, Hymenoptera, Colletidae. The transcript has 7 exons.
UGCACAUGCGUUUUUCUCAUUAAUUCGUGAUAUUAACAACGCGGUGCUCGAAUUCUCAGAACACUGUGAUUUUAUUAAUCGACGAACCUUUGUGGGGGAACUGAAAAGAACAAAGCUCACAUACAACAUGUGCGGCGGCUUUACGUGCUCCAAAAACGCACUGACGGCGCUAAAUAUUCUUUACAUCGUUGUUGCAUUUAUUCUGAUAGGCGUUGCUGUUUAUGGGAGAGCCUCCGCAUUGGUUACAAACCUUCCCAUAAUUGGAGGCAUUCUAGCAUGUGGUGUGAUUUUGAUACUUAUCUCGAUACUUGGUCUUAUUGGUGCUGUUAAACACCACCAAGUUUUAUUAUUCUUUUACAUGCUCAUUCUGUUCCUGUUGUUCCUAAUUCAAUUCAGUAUCGCUUGUGCCUGUCUUGCUGUUAAUGCUAAGCAACAAGAACAGUUGGCAGAACAGGGCUGGAGACGCGUUGGAGAUGAUUUGAAAGCCAAGGUUCAGAUCACUUUCACUUGCUGUGGAUUUAAUAACACUGUAAACUCAAUUUUAGAUGACCAGUAUCCAGUGUCUUGUAAAGAUGUAAAUAAAAUUUGUUGCCCCUAUACUUCCGACAAUGACUGCAUGUGCCUAUCUUGUAUGGAAAAAUUAGAAUCGACGAUCGAUUAUGCGUUUAAAUUAUGUGGCAGUAUUGGAUUGUUCUUCAGCUUCACAGAGUUCAUUGGUGUUUGGUUGACCGUGCGGUACAGGAACCAGAAAGAUCCACGAGCUAAUCCUAGUGCUUUUCUCUAGUCUAACAUCAUCGCUAUGUCGUCUGUCACCUCAUACGAUCUUCAUAAUAGAUGGUGAUUUCAGCUUUCUUAGCGAGACGUUUUCGAAAUCAAUUAAAUCAACAUCAAGACGUUGUCUCUUUUCGCCACGGUUAUUUCCAGUAAACGCUUCAUAUGUUUUACAUAUAUACAUUUACGUUUGUUCGUCUGACGUUGGAUUCUAAUCUGAAUCGAAAAAGGAUCUAAUUUUUAUUUCACAGUACAUCACUUUGCAUAUGAUUCCCGCGGAACUGUUUUGUCUUUCACUGCAGUCUCCGAUGCUCAACAAGAACAAAAUACAUUCGGAAAAUUGACAUAGAUCUUAGCACGGAUCAAACGAUCGACGAUUGAAAUGUGUGCUCUAGUCAUUCAUUUAGAUCAAUUAUAUUAAGCCUCAAUGCGCCUUGUAGUGUAAUAUUUAGAUACGUUUGUGCAAGCGCGUUUCUACAGAACUUACUUGUCUUACACAGAACGUUUCAUCAAUAUGAUCUAUUGUUCUAGCAAUCUCCCUAGUCAAGGAACUAUACUUUCCCUUUAAAACGAGUGCAAACAAAUUUUUAUGGGGUGCACAAUUUUCAUCCUAAUUCUAAGUUGAACAAUCGUUUAUACACUAUCUUUUAUUUAUUUUCAAAUAAGAGAUAUUCAAUUUUACAUUAACCAGAAAUAUUAAUCAUAGAAACGAGUAUCCUUUCACUGAAUUUUAACAAAGUAUUAAGUCGAACAAGUUUUAACGAAUAAUUUCUCCCAUGAUUUGCAAAGUAAUAGUAUUGUGCUAAUGAAUCAAAUAUAUUAAUUCUUUAACGAAAAUUAAAAUGUGCGAUUUAAGACAUCUCGAAUAAAAAUUUUUCGUCUGAUAUAUUAGCAUAGUACUGUCGUAUAUAAUAAUAAUAAUAAUAAUAAUAAUAUAAUCAUUACAUUAUCAAGUU